AACGAACGCUGGCGGCAUGCCUAACACAUGCAAGUCGAACGAGACCUUCGGGUCUAGUGGCGCACGGGUGCGUAACGCGGGGGAACCUGCCCUUAGGUUCGGAAUAACACCCUGAAAGGGGUGCUAAUACCGGAAAAUGUCUUCGGACCAAAGAUUUGUCGCCCUUGGAUGGGCCCGCGAUGGACUAGCUAGUUGGUAGGGUAAAAGCCUACCACGGCGAGGAUCCAUAGCUGGUCUGAGAGGAUGGUCAGCCACACUGGGAGGGGGACACGGCCCGGAAUCUUAGGGGAGGCAGCAGAGGGGAAUAUUGGAAGACGGGCGAGAGCCUGAUCCAGCAAUGCCGCGUGAGUGAUGAAGGCGUUAGGGUUGUAAAGCUCUUUUACCCGGGAUGAUAAUGACGGUACCGGGAGAAUAAGCUCCGGCUAACUCCGUG
This 433-nucleotide ribosomal RNA is filed under the name uncultured bacterium. RNAcentral describes it as "partial 16S ribosomal RNA". It matches the Rfam family "Bacterial small subunit ribosomal RNA", at positions 29 to 507 of the family's 1533-position model. The record is from RNAcentral.